This 1725-nucleotide long non-coding RNA is filed under the name Oryza sativa Indica Group (long-grained rice). RNAcentral describes it as "lncRNA OsZS97_01G011070". The record is from RNAcentral. Lineage: Eukaryota; Viridiplantae; Streptophyta; Magnoliopsida; Poales; Poaceae.
GCUACUCUUCUGCGUGUGACGCCUUCCUCACGCUCGCCGUCUCUCUCUCUCUCCUCCACGCCCUAAUCCUCUCUCCUUCUCACAUGCCGCCGCCGAUCUCCUUCCACGAAGCGCCGCCAGGUGCUACCUCCGCCGCGUCGCACUCGCGCUGCCGUCCCUCUGCCUCACCGAUCUCCCCGCCCCCGCUCACCUCACAACCACCUCCAUCCCGUGGUCGCCGACUCUCCCCCCUUCUUCGCGCCGGCCUCCCUCCGCCACCCACCUCACAACUACCUCCAGUACUCUGGCGUGCCGGUGCGGCUGCGGCAGGGAGGCGGCGGCUCGCGGGCUCGACCGGCCGGCGCUUCGUGCCGUGCGGCUGCGGCGAGCCGGCGAGUGGCAACUGCGGCGCGGCCGCGCGGCGCGACUCCCAGGUAGGGGCGCACCGGCGGCAGCGCCACAGCGGCUCGGGCGGCGCUGCAGUGCCACGCAGGGCGCCGGCACGCCAUCUCGGCCACCUCCUCAGCACCUCCUCAGCAGGUUUGGAUAUCAUGAAAGGUCCCAUAUUGGAGAUUACUACAUAUAGCAUACGGAUUAGUGAAACCAAUGGACAACCUCCCUGCUUCGAGCACCCCACGCCUCCACUUCGUCGCCGCCUUGAACCACCCCUCUUCCUUCCCAGGUGGCUCGUCGCCACUGCCAUCCCCCAGCUAAUGCCCACCACCGUGCGCCUUAGCCCACCACCAUCGCCUCGUCUCGUGUCGCCAUCUCCCCUCAACACAGUGCGCUGUGGCUGCUACACAUUAACUCCGCUCGACAUCGCCGCCUGCCCACCGCUGUCGGUGCUGUCGAUUUGUCGUCAUCCUCAACUCUGCAUCUUCGCCAUAAGGAAGGCAAUGCAAUGGAUGGGGAUAUUGGCGGUUUCCUGUGGACAAAGGGGAAAGAUGGUAGCGACAAUAGCGGUGGUUUCCUGCGGACAAAGGGGGAGAGAUGGUAGCGACAACGGCUGGCAGCACGAGCUUGAGUCGCCUGACAGUUGCUUGCCUUCCUCUGGAUUGUGCACACAAGAACUGUUGGCCAGGUUCUCCCUCCAUUUUAGCUUAAACUCAAUUGGUGAUGAUGAACAACCCACAACCAUGGAGAUCAACUAUUAUUACUAUAAGCGUAAGGGGGCAUGUGCCCCCAUCUGUGCUCCGCUCCGUUGCAUCGUUGCAACGACGGUGCGGAGAGGGCAAGAUAAAAGAGGUGCUAAUAGUCGCGGUUGGUCGCGUUGUGCUCAUCUACAAAGAAUCGUGCGUAUGCAUGUCUUGAUGGAUAUGCUUACCGACCUUAUGGAGAUUUGUCUUUGUGGAUAUAUGGUUUGCGGUGCUUUCGGGUUGCUGGAUUUGUCUUACAGAGAUGUCUCGGUGGAUAUGUGGUUCUCCCUCCACUUUAGUUUAAGCUCCAUUGGUGAUGAUGAGCAACCCACAACCAUGGAGAUCAACUAUUAUUACUAUAAGCGUAAGGGGGCAUGUGCCCCCAUUGCCUCCUUGUGGGCUUCGCUCCAUUACAUCGUUGCAACGACGGUGCGGAGAGGGCAGGAUAGAAGAGGCGCUACUCGUAGCAGUUGGUCGCGCUGUGCUCGUCUACAAAGAAUCAUGCGUAGGUAUGUCUUGGUGGAUAUAUGGUUUGCGGUGUUUUGGAGAUGCUGGAGUUGCUCGGUGGAUAUGUGGUUUGAGGUGCUUUGGAGUUCCUGAGUUGCUCCUU